RNAcentral lists this ribosomal RNA (341 nucleotides) under uncultured bacterium. RNAcentral describes it as "bacterial SSU rRNA". It matches the Rfam family "Bacterial small subunit ribosomal RNA", at positions 914 to 1247 of the family's 1533-position model. The record is from RNAcentral.
CGGGGGCUCACACAAGCGGUGGAGUAUGUGGAUCAAUUCGAAGCAACGCGAAGAACCUUACCUGGGUUUGACAUGCACGGAUGCUCUUCCUGAAAGGGGAGUAGGCUGCCUUCGGGUGAAACGUGCACAGGUGCCGCAUGGCUGUCGUCAGCUCGUGCUGUGAAGUGUCGGGUUAAGUCCCAUAACGAGCGAAACCCCUGUCGCUAGUUGCCAGCGGGUCAUGCCGGGUACUCUAGCGAGACUGCCGGUGUCAAACCGGAGGAAGGUGGGGAUGACGUCAAGUCAUCAUGGCCUUUAUGUCCAGGGUGUCACACGUGCUACAAUGGGGCGGUACAGAGCGA